Molecule: long non-coding RNA, 4481 nt
Filed under: Homo sapiens (human)
Lineage: Eukaryota; Metazoa; Chordata; Mammalia; Primates; Hominidae
Description: HSALNT0174111
Source: RNAcentral
GGAUUAAGGUCAAAAGUGGCCCUGGAGACCAAAUUCCCUAGUGAGGAACUGCCACAUAACUUCAUGUGUCUUUUGCUUCUGAAUUAUUUCUUCUAGAAACCACCAACCACAAGCUGUCACGCUGGUAUUAUAUCUACAUAACGUUUAUUCUUCUUACAGCAAAGAGCUGGAGAAAUACAAGUGAGAACCUGUUAUUACAGGUUAAAUUGUGUAACACUCAACUUGCGCUGAGGUCCAGUUUCUUUUUAUUAUGCUCCAAUUUUGUUGAAUGACUAUUGCCUAAAAUAAAUGGGCAAUCGACAGGGGCUUAGAACUAACAGGGAUGCUUAAGUGACUUUUAUGGUAGCAGUAUUUGUUGUAACAGAAUUUGAUCUGUAUUCUAGUUAUUAGUUUUAUUCAUCACAUUGGAAAGUUGGCACCUCCACUGUUCAUGCCAUUAUAUGCAAAGCACUGUAGCAUGAAAGUCACUUACAAAGCUGUGAAAAAAACUCUCUGAACACCAGAGGCUCAUGAAACAAUAAAAGUCAGCUAGGGGGAUAUACACUGUUUGAUUUAGCUAAAUAUUCUGGAUGGUCAAAGGUUUAUUCCUUUUAAUUCCUAAAAGUUUUUUUUUUUAACCAUUGGGAUGUAAAUAUUUCUAAAAUGUUUGAUAUACAUAUUUUUGUCUUCUAAGCAUAGUUUUUUUAUGUAUGGUGCACAGGGUCAUCAUUUUAAAUAGAAUAUUGUCCCAUGAUACAGUGAGGCUCUUAAAGAUUGAGAUGUGUAUAGACUGUUUUUGACACUAAAUAACCCAUAUAUCAGGGCUUUGGAGCUUUGCAGUCUACUCAAAAUUUCCAUUUUCUCUAUUGCUGUCCUCCUUUUUCCUUCUUGUUUCCUCUAAAAGUCUGUUUCUUUCCUUUACAGUUAGAAAUAUGUGUGAAGGAAGAGCAAAUAGGUUCUGAGGAGGUGCCUGAUGACUAGAUGUAUGGCCUUUGUCUUAUGCGUUUGCUUCAUGGUAUUUAUUUCAAUUGGUUGGAAGCCUUGUUUGCUUACUUCUUAAUUCUCAGUCACUUUUGAUGGGUUCAGCAGAGGUUCUAGAUUUUUCUAGUUCUGUCUCAGUUACUCAUUGUCAAACCACUGGUUUAGAUUUUGUGUUCAGGAAAUAGGGAUAGGUAAAGCUAUCAGGUGGCUAAGCCCUAGGUAAAUGAGUUGCCAUGAAUCCUAAAAUAUUGUGAAGGUUGUGGGCCAUUUUUAUAAGGCAAAUGGUAUGCUGUGGCCGUGACAGCUGAACUCAGUAAGUGAACUUUAAAACAGAUAAGCUCCUUUUGCUGUUGUCCCUUUCCAAGAAUAUGAAGCUGGCCUGACGUCAAGCUGUUGGAGAGCCUUCAACAUGUUUAAUUAAAUCACAGACUCAGUGUCAGAGCUGGCUGACUUUCAGGAUUCUAACGCUAUAGCAAAAGAAGACAUGGUUUUGCCUCUCGUUGAUUUUCUUAUUUAUGGCCUUGGAAUAAAGAAGAUAAAGCAAGUCUAACAGUUCUCCCUUCCAAAAGUACAGUUUCAGGCCAGAAGAUUUGACUGCUACCCUUAGACUUUCUUUCCCUCACUGUACAUUGCAUUUUACAGGCUAUACAAAGCAAGACCUUCUUUGCAAAAGGCAAACUCCUUUGCCCCAAGGCCAUACUGUACAUGUGUGGGGGUAGUUGUAGGGGGAUCAGUGUUGUUAUUCACCAAUACAAGAUGGAAUCAGUGCAGCUAGGAGAGAAGAGAUUAAGGAAAGAGGCUGUGAAGUCUGCUAGACCUGGGUUUAAAUUCUGGCUUCCCGCUUAUUAGGGUGUAACCGUGGUCACAGUACUUAAUUCUCUAAAUUUGAUUCCUGAGCAACAAAGUGGGGAAUGAUAGUAUUGGUGCUGUUACUAUUAUGAUAAUGUGAAAAACAACAGGAGAGUACCUGGCCCAGAGAAAGAGCUAAGUGACAGCUCUUAUUAACAUAAAUGAAUGAUUUAAACCUGGAGAUUACAAUAGUUAACAAGCACAGACACUUAGUGCAGUCUGUUACUGACUUCAAGCAGUCUUUUGCUUUUGUUUCUAUUUCUGUGACAUCUUCUCUUAUUACGACUUUCUGUUGGGUGUCUCUAACUCUGGUGCCUUGUGAAGGCCAGGAGAUAUUCCAGACAAGCUGAAAUUCUACCUUUUUAUGAGUAUAAAGGAAAUGGGGCCAUGUUGGACCAAACAAAGAGUAAUAAAAUAAAAUAUAGAGUUGUAGCUUUCAGAGGGAAAGAUAAAACAAGAAAGGGCUGGGGCAAUGGAUGUGGUGUUGAGAUACUGGCACCAGGAAGCAGGGAAGAAAACCUCCAAACACAUUGUGGUUUGUUAAAACACUGAAGACUCCUAAGUGCUACAGUGGCAGGCAGUGCCACCCCACCAGGCAGCAGUGUCCUCCGCAACUGGGGAAGAGGAAGUAGGGCCUAAUGAUUGCUCUCGGAGACAGAGAGUCUGCUGUCCUGGGCUUUACCAGCCUGGCUUGUUGGGUGACCUUGAGUGACUUAUCUCCCUCUCUUGGACAAUUUUCUCAAGGUUCUCACACAGUCCCUAGCUAACUAAAAGGGUCUGAUGAAGAUAAAUGUGUUAAAAGAAAAUUUAGAGGAGAGUCCACAAACUGUCCCUCCAGAUACACCUGCUGGUGGGUUUUAGGAUUUUUAAACAUUAAAUUUUAAUGCAUUUAGGCAGGGCUUGGUAUUUUCUAAUUCACACAGUAUCUACCAUCUUGAGUCUUCACAUUUGGCUCCUGAAGGCCUCUGAGUAUAUGACUUCUGAUUUCAAUGCAACCUCUGGUCCUUCAAACCAGCUUGGAAUUGCUUCAUUUACAACUCAUUCUAUGUUUUCAUCAAUUACAUGCAAAUAUGUAUUUCUAAAGUUUCACAAAACAAAGAUUUUGUUGGCCUAACUGUAAUUUGCUCUAAAAGACAUUUUUUUUUCUAGAAAAUAUGGCAAAAAUUACAAUUUUACCUUCCUUCUAGUUCAUCCAAAUUCUAAAACUUUAAUGUUAUUUGAAAACAUAAUUUGGCACCAAGUAUUCUUUAGGUUAUAAUCUAAGUUGCUCAUAAAAUGUAAUCUAGGCCUGGAUCAUUUUACUUUGAGGAGAAAACUUAUCACUAAAUAAUAAUGAUCUUAAGUCUGUUCUUUUGCCACUUCCCAGAGCUCUCUCCUAAGGCACUGUGGAAAAGUCAGGAGUAAAUUAGACUCCCACAUCUAGUAACCAAAACACCAUCAUCUCCAGCAUUACCACAGUCAAGUAUGCAGCUCGUCAUAAAUAUUUACACCUUGCAGGGUCCUUUGUGCACAACUCUGAGAGACAAAUGGCAUUUCCAGUAAUAGUUUAUUGAUUUCCAAAUGCACAGGGGCACCAAGUCCGAACAUCCUGGGAUAGCAGUAAAUCUCUCUUACAAAAUAAUUUACAGUAUGAAAAUGAUAUACUGAAACAUUAACCCAAACGUGUAAUUCCCUUGAAAGAUUCAGUGUUCCCUUGUUUAAUGUAAAGGGUGGAAGGGGAAGAUUCCUAAGGAGGGAAUGUGACUGUGCACAGGAAAAUAGGCAGAGGACAAUGGAUUCAUUGGUUCUCCCCAUUCAUGCAGUGUGGCCUGUCACUGUAGAAAGACUGGUCAGGUUUAACCCUCAUUAAGUAUUAAUCUGCUGUCCCCUCAAAGUCAUAUCAAGCCCAGUAUGGGCUCCGUGGCUUUUUUUGCACCAAUGUAUCCAUAAGUGUCUCCACUUAUUUUCAUUUUUCUGCUCUGGCCCUCGUUCUGCUGUUUCUGGUAUGUUCUCAGUUCCAAAUUAUACUAUCUUAUCUUACCAGGCAGGCCUCCAGAAUCAAGAACUGCCUGAGUCUUAUGGUUUCUGGAAUGGGACAGGGUAGGGGGCUUCAUAAGCACUGCUGGAUAAAGGCAAUAAUAAUGAGACUGAAGUCUCCCAUAUGGGCCUUCUUUUUCUCUUAGAGCUGGGCUGGACUCAAUCCAUAAUGAGAUUUUUUUAAACAUAAAAAUCUGAUGUGAUCAGCACACAGUAAACGUGCAGUUAAUUUUCUUAUUGAGAAGCAUGUAUUGCACAGCCAUUAUAUGAAUUAGUAACAUAUGAUCAGAUAUGGAGAACCAAUGAUCUGUCUAUUGCUAAUAUAAGGCUACUAUUUGGAGAUCAAACAAUGAUUAUUGGGGAAAGACAAUACAAGCUUCCAAAUCCUAAAAUCUUUUUAAUCUUCUGAUACUUAAAUUUUUUCGAGAGUGGCCACUGGUCCUUCUUUUAGGGUACUUUUGUUGGAUAUGAUUGGUGGUUGUAAUUAAUGGUAUGCCAAAUUCUCCAGUCUUUGCAGAGAUAGGUAAAGCACCAAAAUUGUCCUAGCCAUUUCUUGGCCAUCAGUUUGAGAGAAAAAUGCUUUUUUUUUUUUUUUUUUAACACCUCAAACUCCCCUCAGCCCCAAUAUCCUGGCAUCUUUAGUGAGUCAGGACAAU